This 480-nucleotide ribosomal RNA is filed under the name uncultured bacterium. Its description in RNAcentral is "bacterial SSU rRNA". It matches the Rfam family "Bacterial small subunit ribosomal RNA", at positions 29 to 524 of the family's 1533-position model. The record is from RNAcentral.
AACAAACGCUGGCGGCGUGCCUAAUACAUGCAAGUCGAACGGGGAAAGUAGCAAUACGAGUACUAGUGGCGCACGGGUGAGGAAUACAUGGGUAAUCUGCCCUCAAGUUUGGGAUAACCAGUCGAAAGAUUGGCUAAUACCGGAUAUGACCACAAGAUCUGCGGAUCAAGGGGUAAAAGUUUUUCGCUUGAGGAUGAGCCCAUGUGGGAUUAGCUAGUUGGUGAGGUAAUGGCUCACCAAGGCUACGAUCCCUAACUGGUCUUAGAGGAUGAUCAGUCACACUGGAACUGAGACACGGUCCAGACUCCUACGGGAGGCAGCAGUAGGGGAAUAUUGCACAAUGGGGGGAAACCCUGAUGCAGCGACGCCGCGUGAGUGAUGAAGGCCUUCGGGUCGUAAAGCUCUGUCGUAUGGGAAUAACAAAAUGAAUGUACCAUGCAAGAAAGGAUCGGCUAACUUCGUGCCAGCAGCCGCGGUAAU